AGAUACCCCACUAUGCUCAGCCGUAAACCUUAAAUUACAUCGAAAUCGCCAGGGAACUACGAGCCAUGCUUAAAACCCAAAGGACUUGACGGUACCCCAUAUCCACCUAGAGGAGCCUGUCCUGUAAUCGAUAAUCCCCGCUAAACCUCACCCCUUCUAGCUUCUCAGCCUGUAUACUUCCGUCGCCAGCCCACCACGUGAGCGCCACUCAGUAGGCACCCCCCGCUAAAUUCGCAAAAACAUCAGGUCAAGGUGCAGCAAAUGAAGGGGAAAGAGAUGGGCUACAUUCUCUAAUAUAGAGUACACGAAUAACUGCAUAUGAAACCCAGUUUGAAGGCGGAUUUAGAAGUAAAGAGAAAUCAAAGAGUCCUCUUUAACUCGGCGCUGGGGUGUGUACACACCGCCCGUCACCCUCCUCGAAGCUACCAAACAGUAACUAACAACUAAUUGCAUAAGAGAGGAGGCAAGUCGUAACA
This 476-nucleotide ribosomal RNA is filed under the name Craugastor alfredi (Alfred's rain frog). RNAcentral describes it as "partial 12S ribosomal RNA". It matches the Rfam family "Bacterial small subunit ribosomal RNA", at positions 780 to 1493 of the family's 1533-position model. The record is from RNAcentral. Lineage: Eukaryota; Metazoa; Chordata; Amphibia; Anura; Craugastoridae.